This is a long non-coding RNA of Rosa rugosa (rugosa rose), 1608 nucleotides long. RefSeq lists it as uncharacterized. Lineage: Eukaryota; Viridiplantae; Streptophyta; Magnoliopsida; Rosales; Rosaceae. The record is from RefSeq and is a predicted model, not a curated record. The transcript is spliced from 5 exons.
CAACAAUAAAUAGAAGCAGUAAAAAUGUUUAUGGUGUUGAUCCGCCGGGCAAAGCUUGUGUUAGCAGUGAUUUUGGUGCAACUCAGGUAUGAUGGGCUUUCGAUAAUCUCUGUGUUUGCUUUAAAGAAGGGAAUGAGUCCUUACACAUUCAUCAUGUACCGAAUGGCCAUUGCCACUAUUGUUCUAGCUCCAUUUGCAUUUAUUUUGGAGAGGAAUUCAAGACCUCCGAUCGAUGACUUGGUCCAUUACUGCAAAGAUAAUGUUGCUGAGCCUUUUCAAUUAAGUAAGAAUCCAAAUAGGAUAUUCUAAUUCAUUUGUUCAACUUAUGGUGUAUUAUGAUUAUCUGUUCAUGCAUUGCAGUCCUGUGCUUGACCAGAACCUCUACUACAUGGGAAUGAAGAAUUCGAGUGCAACGUUCACUUCUGCAAUGUUGAAUAUGCUGCCUGCUUUUGCAUUUUGUCUAGCCUGGAUUUUUAGGUUUGAGAAGGUUAGCCUUAAGAAACUGCACAGCAUAGCAAAGGUGAUGGGGACGUUCAUCACAGUCAGGGAGCAAGUCUUGACUGUAGUUUAAAGGUCCCUCUUUGUGUCUACCAUGGGCCAAUGAAGAACAAAUAGAUCCUCAUCAAUCUGCGCAAUGCUAUUUGGGUCAGACAGACCUUGUAAAAGGAGCUCUAUUUAUCACAGGAGCUUGUUUCUGCUGGUCUUCGUUUGUCAUUUUGCAAGCGAUUACCUUAAGAUCCUACCCUUGUCACUCUCACAGCAAUGACAUGCUUUUGGGGUAUGGUGGAAGGCGCAAUACUGGCUUUUGUAGUUGAAAGGGGACAUAGUGGAGUCUGGUCCAUACAAUUCAACAUCGAACUUGUAGCAGCAUUUUAUGGGGCAGUGCAAUCUGGUGUUGCUUAUUAUGUGAUGGGAAUGGUAGUGAAGGAAAAGGGACCUGCUUUUCACUCGGCUUUUCAUCCCUUGGCCACAGUAGGUUGCAAUCCUGGGUUCCUUUGUUUUAGCAGAACAACUGUACAUUGGGAGUGUUAUCGGAGCAGCUUUAAUCAUCAUUGGUCCGCAUCUCAUUCUCUGGGGAAAAGCAAAGGAUCAGUCUCCUCCAUCACAGUGCUGCAUGAUCGAUGAAGUAGCACCACUAACACAAAGAUUAAUAGUUGAUCAACAAUGUUAAGAGAUUCCAUGUCACUUCAAGCAUACUGUUGAUCCUUCAAAACUCUGGCAAACCAGUUUGUUAGUCUUUUUUCUUUUUCCUUCUUAUUUUGAAGUGAAAUGAUCACCGUUGUUCUGAUUAAAUAUUCAUCAGCUAGAUUAAAGUAUUAACUAUGUUAAGUAAAAUUAGGACUAGAUUGUUUUAGCUGUUAGAGAAUUUUGCAUGUGAUUGUGCCUAAAGAAAUCUGGCCUACUUACGAGUUAUUUCUUGCCACUUCAUGAAUAGGCUGAUCCAUGCAAAUUCUGCCAUGCAUGUCAGCUUUUAGUCGUCGUUUUCCUUUUCCUCUUUUCUUUUCUUUUUCUUGUUAUUUUGAUUUUUGAGUAGCAAGGAUCACCAUUGGUCUGUUUUAAGUACUCAUCAGCUAGCUUUAAAGUAUUAACGUACAAUUAGACGUAAGA